Molecule: ribosomal RNA, 497 nt
Filed under: uncultured bacterium
Lineage: Bacteria
Description: partial 16S ribosomal RNA
Rfam family: Bacterial small subunit ribosomal RNA
Source: RNAcentral
GAUGAACGCUGGCGGCGUGCCUAAUACAUGCAAGUCGAGCGAACAGAUGAGGAGCUUGCUCCUCGGACGUUAGCGGCGGACGGGUGAGUAACACGUGGAUAACCUACCUAUAAGACUGGGAUAACUUCGGGAAACCGGAGCUAAUACCGGAUAAUAUAUUGAACCGCAUGGUGCAAUGGUGAAAGACGGUUUUGCUGUCACGUAUAGAUGGAUCCGCGCCGCAGUAGAUAGUUGGGAAGGUAACGGCUUACCAAGGGAACGAUGCGUAGCCGACCUGAGAGGGUGAUCGGCCACCUUGGAACUGAGACACGGUCCAGACUCCUACGGGAGGCAGCAGUAGGGAAUCUGCCGCAAUGGGCGAAAGCCUGACGGAGCAACGCCGCGUGAGUGAUGAAGGUCUUCGGAUCGUAAAACUCUGUUAUUAGGGAAGAACAAAUGUGUAAGUAACUAUGCACGUAUUGACGGUAACUAAUCAGAAAGCCCCGGCUAACUACGUG